AUACGAAGGGUGCAAGCGUUACUCGGAAUUACUGGGCGUAAAGCGUGCGUAGGUGGUUGUUUAAGUCUGUCGUGAAAGCCCUGGGCUCAACCUGGGAAUGACGAUGGAAACUGGGCGACUAGAGUGUGGCAGAGGGUAGUGGAAUUCCUGGUGUAGCAGCGAAAUGCGUAGAGAUCAGGAGGAACAUCCGUGGCGAAGGCGACUGCCUGGGCCAACACUGACACUGAGGCACGAAAGCGUGGGGAGCAAACAGGAUUAGAUACCCUGGUAGUCCACGCCCUAAACGAUGCGAACUGGAUGUUGGGUGCAAUUUGGCACGCAGUAUCGAAGCUAACGCGUUAAGUUCGCCGCCUGGGGAGUACGGUCGCAAGACUGAAACUCAAAUGAAUUGACGGGG
This 397-nucleotide ribosomal RNA is filed under the name uncultured bacterium. Its description in RNAcentral is "partial 16S ribosomal RNA". It matches the Rfam family "Bacterial small subunit ribosomal RNA", at positions 523 to 918 of the family's 1533-position model. The record is from RNAcentral.